This 30-nucleotide transfer RNA is filed under the name Machaerium seemannii. RNAcentral's name for it is "partial tRNA-His". Lineage: Eukaryota; Viridiplantae; Streptophyta; Magnoliopsida; Fabales; Fabaceae. The record is from RNAcentral. RNAcentral also lists the same sequence under 1 other name.
GGCGGAUGUACCCAAGUGGAUCAAGGCAGG